AAAAGUACAUUUAAAAGUACAGUAUAGAUGAUAAUUAAAAGGCUUUAAAAGGUUAAAUUGAAGGUGGUCGAGAUACCUUCAUGGUGGAAAAAAGAUUGCUUUAUUGCAUCAUUCGAAGCCUAGUUAAUCUUAAAGGCAUUACUUUAAAAAAAAUGGGAAGAUAAUAGGAUAAAAGAUAUUUAGAUAAAGAAGAUUAAAAAUUUAAAGUGAAAAACUUUAAAGACAGAAGUAUAGAAAGUUAAAAAGAAAAAAGAUAAAGAUGUAGGAAGAUAAAAAAGAUGCAGAAAGACAAGAAUUUUAAACCCACAAAAUAGGAAGAAAAAACUAGGAGGAAAAUAAGCAACUAAGGGUAAAUAUACAAACCUUAGGAAAAAAAAAACUAGAAGAUAGAAAUAAGAUAGAAAAUGGUUGAAAAUGUCAAGUAAAGGUAUUUCAGAUAGAAAAUACAAAAGGCUAAGACAACUAUUAGAUACAGACAUUCAAGAUAGAAUUAAAAUGUAUUUAUUAAAGCAAAAAGAGGGAAUUGGAAAGGGGUAUAUACCCCCCCAAAGAUAAACUUAAAUAACCCUUUUUACUCUAAACUUUUUAAAUUUGGAUUCAUAAGGACUUAGUGCUGCGGA
RNAcentral lists this long non-coding RNA (620 nucleotides) under Marmota monax (woodchuck). Lineage: Eukaryota; Metazoa; Chordata; Mammalia; Rodentia; Sciuridae. The record is from RNAcentral.